AUGCUAAUGGGCUGAUAUGCUAGUGUAGGCUUGGAGUUAGUAAGCCCACAAGUCCUCUAAUAUUCUCUUAGCACAUAAUACUUUAUGUUUAAUUAAUUUUUAAUUAUCUCCUUCUUGAAGCUUUCCACCGUCUCUUUCAUUGCUUUUUGCAAUGAGAGAGAGAGAGAGAGAGAGAGAGAGAGAGAGAAGGUUCAAGAGAGAGAGUGACAGAGAGCUCGAGAAGGAGCCGGUGGAAGAAGAAGAAGAAGAAGAAGAAGAAGAAGGGAAGAGGAGAGACGCAGGGGAAGAGAGAGAAUCGGAAUGGAGCUCACCCGAAGGCGAGGAACGGACUGGAACUUUGCUUCAUCAUUUUGCUAAAUCUCGAUUGAUUGCUUUGUUCAUUUCCUAAACUUUGAUUGAACUUUAUAUGAUUCGAAUUUCUCGGUUUGGGGAAAGUUUGAUUUGUUGCGAGUUUAACCAUUCUGUCAAACGUGGGAAGCUGUGGGUUUUUGGUUUGGUUCUUUCAUGGCUGUGCUAUUGAUGAAUCGGGGUUUUCUUUCUUUUUCUUUUCAUUGUCCUGUUUUUGACUUGGGGGGAAAUGAGGAAGAAAAUGAAGAACAGAGAGGGGGAGAUAGAGAGCGAGACAGAGAGAGCUAGGAGGAAAAAAAAGAAUAAAAAAAGAGGAAAACAGGAGUCUGUUAUUAACGACCUUCUUGGUCUUCGUCGAGCUCAUUCGAGCUUCUCUUUUUCUAUUGUAUGAGCUUCUAAUUGAUUUCCUAGUUUAAGCCUCAUUUACUAAAUUAUUAUUCUUGUGAAUUUAGAAGUUGGGUUAAUUGGAUUGAUAGUGAAGGGAGGGUAAAGCUUAUAGACCCAUUUAGAUUAUUGAUGUGUUGGGUACAGAUUAUUGAGCUUAGAGUUUUGAGGCACCAUUUAUACAAUUAGGUCUUUUCCUUGGUGAAUUGAAGAACGUGGUAUAAUUGAAUUGCUAAAUUGGGGAAAUUAAAAGUGGAAUUCAAAACAGAAGUUUAUGUAAUUUUAUUAGAAAAACUUAGGAGAAUUGAAUAAUUAGCUAUUAGAGUGAACUCGUGAGUUAUUUCUUAUUGAGGCCAAAAGGGUUCUGUUCGGUACCUUAUUAUUAUGAACGAAUAUUGGUAAAGGAUAUGAUUAUUGACACUAUUCUUGUGCUUAUAACCUUAUUAGUAUUCACGUAUGGGAAUUUAUAGGAACUUAUCUCAUUAGUGAUAAUAAAAAGAAAGAUGUCAAGUAGGAGACCUAUAAUUAACUCUUUUUUGUUGAUCUAAGUGCCAUUAUCUGAGCUAGUUUGGUUUUGAUAUUUAUUUUUAAGUAUGAUGAGAUUAUUUUCUUUGGAUAUUUAAGAUAUGUGGGCUGAUUUAGUGAGUUGAAUUGUUACCUCAAUAUAUACACACGUUAUGAUGGAUUAGUAAUCUUCAUAAAUUACUUAGAGUAAGAAUCUAAUAAUAAGAAUUUUGUUGUUGUCUUAUAUGGAGUGUUGGAUUGCUAGUGCUAUUGUUGUGUUUAUAUCUUAGUUUCGUUGAUCCUCCAAGGCUAUUGCGGGACGAUUUAGUAUGAGAAUUAAUGGAGAAAAUGAUUGUUAGGCAUAACUUGUUUUUCAGGUUAUACUCAUGAUUGAUAGGAGUUGAGGACAUCGAUUGUGCACCCUCAAGGUCAAGUUUGAAGAAAUAUUUUUGAGUAUACGAUGAGCUAGGAGUUAGACUAGCAGCACAGGAGAACUUUUUGGAAUAUCGGGGAUCAGCUCAGAGGACUAUGUAUGGAUUUUAAUUAUUUGAUGAGUAUUCUUUUUGUAUAGAAUGUAUUUGAAUAACGACUUGAAAUUUUUAUUUAGUUGGUUUAGUGAUGUGGUUGAGAAAGAAAAAAAAAUUACUCUCUUUCGAGAUGUAGAUAUAUAUAUAUUAGAUAUUGCUGGAUUGGUUAUAUGUUUUUGGGAGUUGUGAAAAACAGUUUUAUAGUAAUAGUUUAUGUGAUAAUAUAGGGGAAACGAUGAUGAAAUUUCAAAUCGUGACAGCUACGAUGUACUUAAAUA
Molecule: non-coding RNA, 2041 nt
Organism: Punica granatum (pomegranate)
Lineage: Eukaryota; Viridiplantae; Streptophyta; Magnoliopsida; Myrtales; Lythraceae
Source: RefSeq, a predicted model, not a curated record